This 65-nucleotide transfer RNA is filed under the name Palesisa nudioculata. RNAcentral describes it as "tRNA-Asn". Lineage: Eukaryota; Metazoa; Arthropoda; Insecta; Diptera; Tachinidae. RNAcentral also lists the same sequence under 1 other name. The record is from RNAcentral.
UUAAUUGAAGCCAAAAAGAGGCCUAUCACUGUUAAUGAUAAAAUUGAAUAAAAAUUCCAAUUAAA